This 1908-nucleotide long non-coding RNA is filed under the name Takifugu rubripes (torafugu). Its description in RNAcentral is "lncRNA (ENSTRUG00000031362.1)". The record is from RNAcentral. Lineage: Eukaryota; Metazoa; Chordata; Actinopteri; Tetraodontiformes; Tetraodontidae.
UAUAUCAACGGUUGGGUUUGAAGGCCUGAUUCACCCAAUGAGGUUAUACCACAGAGUUCAUAGGUACGGUAGUUAGUGAUGUUGUGGAACACAUCUUCCAUCCUGGGGAGGCCACUAAAACCAGUGUCCAGGGUUUUGCCUGCAGAAUACUGCACUAUAGAGAGAUGAUUGUUAUACCACCUCCUCUGUUUAGGUUAAAAUGAUGUGACCAAGUGGUAUUAUGUGAGAGGUACACAUCAGACAGCAAGAAUUUAAAGUUGAACACCCCAGUUCUGUCAUAAAACAAAUGAAUAGUCUUUAUGGUGCCCAAGAAGGUUGUUAAUCAUGUUUUCUCCACUGUCAGGACAGAGCUCUCAACAGUUAGGCUUUGUUGGACCUCCGCAGAGGGUAGUUUAUUAUUGUUGGUUGAACACAGGUCACUGUUGUGCCAUCACACAAAUGCACAAACCCAUGCAUGCAAACACAAAUGUAGAUUCAAAUUGUGAUUAAUGUGUUCAUUUCAAAUAUGAACGGCAGUAAUUAAAAAUGAGACAUUCAUCCUAAAACAGUACAAAAACAGUAUGAUUUAAUGAUAUAAGAGCUAUAUUAUUUGAUACUCUAAGAACAGCAUUUUACUAUGUUCCUAUAACUUACUCAAGUACACUUUUACUGUCAUGUAUUUUGCAACUUUUGAAUAUACAUACAUAUGCACAGCAUAAAAUGUUUCUACUUUAAGAUUAACCUGAAUUUUGGAAAUCUGUCUGCAAUUUCAGAUUCAUUUUUUUUAGAUUACUUAUGGAAAAAUAUAUUGGAGAAACAAUAAUCUUGCCACAAUAUUGGGGCUGUAAUUGCUAACAUUUUGCAACCCUUUAUACCUAUAAUCAGUUACGAACGGUUUAGUAAAGUAGGGGAAGACACGCUAAUCGGAUUUCGGUGAAUCGGUUCUUAAGUGGCGCGGGUGGACUCGCGCGGACAGGAGGGAGGAUCUCGUGCGCUUGAGGGAGAAGAUGUGGGAGAGGAGGGGGACGAAAUCAUUCACCACGGCUACAAAACGCUUCCGCCUCAAACACUUCCUUGAAAUUUGCACAAGUUUCCCGAGUGGCGCAAAGCGACGACGGGAGCGUCCACCCAACGCUGUGUGACUCCAGGAGUCAGCAGUCCACUGGGCUCAGCAAGCCUGUGAAGGACAGGAAAGUGAACGCACGCCCAUCUGGACCCCAUCAGGAAGAGGGUGAGUUUUGGUUUUUGCCUCAACCGAUUUGCCUGAAGUCUAAGGCCACACAGGUACGAAUCAGAUGUUCCUUUCUAGGAACUUUUGCCUCAUUUUUGAGGUAUUAUGGGGCACCUCGGUUGAUGUGUCACACUUUCCAAAUGUUUUGCUCUGCAUAGGUCAUAUCGGACGUCUGCUGUGCCUCAAAGUGGGAUUAUUGUUCUAUCUGUAAACAAAAAGAAACAGAUCUCAUAUAAAACUGCAUCUAUUUUAAAUGUAAGUUGUUGUUUCAACAGAAACUGGAGGACCUCAAAGUCUCAAUCUGGAAUCACGGAAGGUGAGUUUUUUUUUUUCAUUUGCAGUUUCAUGUCAGUUACAAGAAUCAUCGAAAUGCUGGGGAAAAGAAUUUCAGUAUGUUAACACAGGCAGUUUGUGAAAGUAAACUUCUCCAUCCGGUGGUCAGUUACACAGCUGAUACCAGUGAAGACACAUCCAUCGGACAGUCAAAAUGUAGUCAUUGUUUGAAUCCAAAACCUCCAACAUGACACCUCCCACAGUGUCUGACUACUGUGAUUUUUAAAUGCUUACCGGCAAUUAGGUGCAAGAGUGCUUCCCCUAAAACAGCUCAUUUAGAAACAAAUGAAUAUGGCUCUGGCAGCUGCACAAAGAAUAAGCCAGCAAUCUGCAUUCAGAGCAGAAUCAGGCCUGCAGAUGGAGCA